Girardinichthys multiradiatus is the source of this 1036-nucleotide long non-coding RNA. RefSeq lists it as uncharacterized. The transcript has 2 exons. The record is from RefSeq and is a predicted model, not a curated record. NCBI's taxonomy places the organism in Eukaryota, Metazoa, Chordata, Actinopteri, Cyprinodontiformes, Goodeidae.
AAUAUUUUGAGAAGGACCUGUACAUGGUUUUGCUACUGGCAGGGAGAGCGAAGUCCUGAGCCUAUCUUUCUGUCACCCACGUUAAGAUCUGCUGAUUUGGCUUCUUCUGUCAAAGUUUUUCCUAUGUUUUUCCUUCAGGUAUGGAGGGCAGUAGAACCAUCUCUAUUCUUGCAGUAAAUCAAGAAUAAGCAGCUCAGGGACGUUGGUUCAUCCUAAAGAGUUUUCAUGCUAAUUUUCCUAUAGAAUUUAAUUCCUACACAAAUUUGUUUCAUCUUUACGAUGGUAUUUUAUUGGCAUUACAUUUCUAAGUAAUGUAUGAUAAGAAUUUAAGGUAUAAAUGAACUGGCCAGUGACAUUUGUAUUUUGUUUUUAUGAGAUUACUGUUUGUGUUUUCCCUCCCAUUAGUUUCAUAAGUUCACAUUACUCUCCCAGCUGGAGCACAUCAAUGAUUGCUCACCUGGUUCCCAUUCUUGUAAUCAGUCUUCCUAUUAGAUAAAUGCACAGGUUGUCAGAUCCUCACAGGUGGUUUUUGUGUCCUCUUGAAGUUGUUCAUUAAAGGUUCAUUCCUGCAUCAUGUCAGUUUGCUUAUGUAGCAGGAUGAAGCCUGCCACAGGAUUGAGGACACCUGGCAUCUAAUUAGUACACACUGGGUGUGAGCAUAAAGGGAGAUUCUCUCACCUGCUCUCAUUAUGCCUGCAUUUAGUUACACUUCAGCAGGAAGGUCAUAUGGUUUGCCUGCAGGGGCCAAAACUCUAACAUCAGCUGAGAGCUGAAGGCGGUGGGGGCGCAUCCAGGGGAACUGGACCUGACCGGUGUUGGGAUUUGUUCACGAUCGAGUGUUUGUUCAAGUGCUUGGGGUGAUUUAUUUUGUUUUAGGAACCAGUUCCCCAUACUCGGAUUGCCCUCCCCCUGCUGGUAGGCCCCAGUCUUGUGUACUUCCCUUCCUAUUUUGGCUUUUGGAAUAUUGUCUUUUAACACAUGGAACAAUAAAAUGUGACUUUUUGUGAAAUAAAGUCUUGCUCUCCUUGUCUAUGAA